Molecule: ribosomal RNA, 388 nt
Filed under: uncultured bacterium
Lineage: Bacteria
Description: partial 16S ribosomal RNA
Rfam family: Bacterial small subunit ribosomal RNA
Source: RNAcentral
AUACGUAGGUGGCGAGCGUUAUCCGGAAUUAUUGGGCGUAAAGGGUGCGUAGGCGGCCUGUUAAGUUUAAGGUGAAAGCGCGGGGCUUAACCCCAUAAAGCCUUAGAUACUGGCAGGCUAGAGUACUGGAGAGGAAAGUGGAAUUCCAUGUGUAGCGGUAAAAUGCGUAGAGAUAUGGAGGAACACCGGUGGCGAAGGCGGCUUUCUAGACAGUAACUGACGCUGAGGCACGAAAGCGUGGGGAGCAAAUAGGAUUAGAUACCCUAGUAGUCCACGCUGUAAACGAUGAAUGCUAAGUGUUGGGGUAACCCAGUGCUGCAGUUAACGCAAUAAGCAUUCCGCCUGUGGAGUAUGCACGCAAGUGUGAAACUUAAAGGAAUUGACGGGG